RNAcentral lists this transfer RNA (73 nucleotides) under Spirochaetaceae bacterium. RNAcentral describes it as "tRNA-Met". It matches the Rfam family "tRNA". From Rfam's summary of the family: Transfer RNA (tRNA) molecules are approximately 80 nucleotides in length. Lineage: Bacteria; Pseudomonadati; Spirochaetota; Spirochaetia; Spirochaetales; Spirochaetaceae. The record is from RNAcentral.
CGCAAGGUAGAGCAGUUGGCAGCUCGUCGGUCUCAUAACCCGGAGGUCCCAGGUUCGAGUCCUGGCCUUGCUA